AAUUUUGGACAAUGGGGGCAACCCUGAUCCAGCCAUGCCGCGUGAGUGAAGAAGGCCUUCGGGUUGUAAAGCUCUUUCGGUAGGAACGAAACGGUUACGGCUAAUACCCGUGACUAAUGACGGUACUUACAGAAGAAGCACCGGCUAACUACGUGCCAGCAGCCGCGGUAAUACGUAGGGUGCGAGCGUUAAUAGGAAUUACUGGGCGUAAAGGGCGCGCAGGCGGUCUCGUAAGCUGGGUGUGAAAGCCCCGGGCUUAACCUGGGAAUGGCAUUCAGGACUGCGAGGCUUCGAGUGCGGCAGAGGGAGGUGGAAUUCCACGUGUAGCAGUGAAAUGCGUAGAGAUGUGGAGGAACACCGAUGGCGAAGGCAGCCUCCUGGGCCAGCACUGACGCUCAUGCACGAAAGCGUGGGGAGCAAACAGGAUUAGAUACCCUGGUAGUCCACGCCCUAAACGAUGUCAACUGGUUGUUGGUGGGGUUAAACCCAUUAGUAACGAAGCUAACGCGU
This 510-nucleotide ribosomal RNA is filed under the name uncultured bacterium. Its description in RNAcentral is "bacterial SSU rRNA". It matches the Rfam family "Bacterial small subunit ribosomal RNA", at positions 360 to 860 of the family's 1533-position model. The record is from RNAcentral.